RNAcentral lists this non-coding RNA (168 nucleotides) under Eubacteriaceae bacterium. RNAcentral's name for it is "6S RNA". It matches the Rfam family "6S / SsrS RNA". Rfam says of the family: E. coli 6S RNA was the first non coding RNA to be sequenced, but its function was unknown until recently. It consists of 184 nucleotides that fold into an extended hairpin structure with a large single-stranded internal bulge. The record is from RNAcentral. Lineage: Bacteria; Bacillati; Bacillota; Clostridia; Eubacteriales; Eubacteriaceae.
AAGAUACCGAAGGACGUUAAACUUAUUUUGAACCUACACUAUAUUUAAGGGAAUUCGCGUUUCCAUUCCUAUGGCGGGCCCACUUCGAUGGGAUUACAGAAGUCUGGAACAGAUAACCCACCUGGCGGAUUGCUAGGACUCAAAAUAAAUUUGUCUUUCGGUGUUUUU